AUCUAAAUACCAACAACUUGUUUGAAAUUUCACAAAAAAAGAAAACUCUUUGUAGGCCAAACCAAAUAAAGAUAUAUAUGACCCCUCUGUGUCAACUCUUCACUGCUGCACCAAAGGAAGAACCAGACAGUCCCCAGGAGCAAAUCGUCACUGUUCUAUGUAGGGGAACCUGAUAGCCUCUUCAAAGAAGGCUGCAGAGCAAACCACAAGACGUUAGACCCAACUACCCGGCUACUGACGCCAGCCUGUGACUGUUUUUGAAACAACACAGAGGAAGAAGACAAGAUCCUUACUUACACCUUUGUUCCUCAUCACCUCCCCAUGACUGUGAGCCUUCAUCUUAUAUAAGCCCCUGGACUCCUCAAGGGAGGAGGGGCCCAGCUCUGGAGGCACCAGCCCACUGCGUUCUCCCCUCCACUAGCUGAGGAUGAAAGCCACCUUUCUACUUCCUCCAAAUUCUGCCCCCGUAUUUUUUAUUUAACUUCGGUGGGCAGAGAAAGCCAAGAUUUUUGGCACUUCAAACCCUUCACACUGGCCAUCAAAAGCAAUAGCCAUUGUGGGCUUAUCAGAUUCUCCCCUUCUCUCCCAGCCUACUGUUUAGAGACUGCUGCUGCUGCGGCUGCUAAGUCGCUUCAGUCGUGUCCGACUGUGCAACUCCAUAGACGGCAGCCCAUCAGGCUCCCCCGUCCCUGGGAUUCUCAAGGCAAGAACACUGGAGUGGGUUGCCAUUUCCUUCUCCAAUGCAUGAAAGUGAAGUCACUCAGUCGUGUCCGACUCUUAGUGACUUCAUGGACUGUAGCCUACCGGGCUCCUCCGUCCAUAACAGACUGCUAGUGACUAUAUAACACCCAGCUAAAGACUAGCAGGGGAGUACUCUUUCUGCCCCCUUCUGAUGCCUAUGUCAGAAGCUUUCUCUAUCUCCUUUAUACUUUAAUAAAACUUUAUUACACAAAAGCUCUGAGCAAUCAAGCCUUGUCU
Bos taurus (domestic cattle) is the source of this 978-nucleotide long non-coding RNA. NCBI's taxonomy places the organism in Eukaryota, Metazoa, Chordata, Mammalia, Artiodactyla, Bovidae. The record is from Ensembl.